CACGUAGGGCGCAAGCGUUGUCCGGAAUUAUUGGGCGUAAAGAGCUCGUAGGCGGUCUGUUACGUCUGCUGUGAAAACCCUGGGCUUAACCCUGGGCUUGCAGUGGAUACGGGCAGACUAGAGGCAGGUAGGGGAGAAUGGAAUUCCUAGUGUAGCGGUGAAAUGCGCAGAUAUCAGGAGGAACACCGGUGGCGAAGGCGGAUCUCUGGGCCUUACCUGACGCUCAGGUGCGAAAGCUAGGGGAGCGAACAGG
This 253-nucleotide ribosomal RNA is filed under the name uncultured bacterium. Its description in RNAcentral is "partial 16S ribosomal RNA". It matches the Rfam family "Bacterial small subunit ribosomal RNA", at positions 524 to 776 of the family's 1533-position model. The record is from RNAcentral.